GACGUAGGGCGCGAGCGUUGUCCGGAUUUAUUGGGCGUAAAGAGCUCGUAGGCGGCUCGUUGCGUCGGCUGUGAAAACCCGCAGCUCAACUGUGGGCUUGCAGCUGAUACGGGCGGGCUGGGAUUCGGUAGGGGAGACUGGAAUUCCUGGUGUAGCGGUGAAAUGCGCAGAUAUCAGGAGGAAUACCCGUGGCGAAGGCGGUCCACUGGGCAUCAACUGACGCUGAGGCGCGAAAGCGUGGGUAGCAAACAGG
RNAcentral lists this ribosomal RNA (253 nucleotides) under uncultured bacterium. RNAcentral's name for it is "partial 16S ribosomal RNA". It matches the Rfam family "Bacterial small subunit ribosomal RNA", at positions 524 to 776 of the family's 1533-position model. The record is from RNAcentral.